UUAGCUACAGGCUUAACACAUGCAAGUCGAGGGGCAGCAUGGUCUUAGCUUGCUAAGGCCGAUGGCGACCGGCGCACGGGUGAGUAACACGUAUCCAACCUGCCGUCUACUCUUGGACAGCCUUCUGAAAGGAAGAUUAAUACAAGAUGGCAUCAUGAGUCCGCAUGUUCACAUGAUUAAAGGUAUUCCGGUAGACGAUGGGGAUGCGUUCCAUUAGAUAGUAGGCGGGGUAACGGCCCACCUAGUCUUCGAUGGAUAGGGGUUCUGAGAGGAAGGUCCCCCACAUUGGAACUGAGACACGGUCCAAACUCCUACGGGAGGCAGCAGUGAGGAAUAUUGGUCAAUGGGCGAGAGCCUGAACCAGCCAAGUAGUGUGAAGGAUGACUGCCCUAUGGGUUGUAAACUUCUUUUAUAAAGGAAUAAAGUCGGGUAUGGAUACCCGUUUGCAUGUACUUUAUGAAUAAGGAUCGGCUAACUCCGUGCCAGCAGCCGCGGUAAUACGGAGGAUCCGAGCGUUAUCCGGAUUUAUUGGGUUUAAAGGGAGCGUAGAUGGAUGUUUAAGUCAGUUGUGAAAGUUUGCGGCUCAACCGUAAAAUUGCGGUUGAUACUGGAUAUCUUGAGUGCAGUUGAGGCAGGCGGAAUUCGUGGUGUAGCGGUGAAAUGCUUAGAUAUCACGAAGAACUCCGAUUGCGAAGGCAGCCUGCUAAGCUGCAACUGACAUUGAGGCUCGAAAGUGUGGGUAUCAAACAGGAUUAGAUACCCUGGUAGUCCACACGGUAAACGAUGAAUACUCGCUGUUUGCGAUAUACAGCAAGCGGCCAAGCGAAAGCGUUAAGUAUUCCACCUGGGGAGUACGCCGGCAACGGUGAAACUCAAAGGAAUUGACGGGGGCCCGCACAAGCGGAGGAACAUGUGGUUUAAUUCGAUGAUACGCGAGGAACCUUACCCGGGCUUAAAUUGCAGAUGAAUUACGGCGAAAGCCGUAAGCCGCAAGGCAUCUGCGAAGGUGCUGCAUGGUUGUCGUCAGCUCGUGCCGUGAGGUGUCGGCUUAAGUGCCAUAACGAGCGCAACCCUUGUUGUCAGUUACUAACAGGUUCUGCUGAGGACUCUGACAAGACUGCCAUCGUAAGAUGUGAGGAAGGUGGGGAUGACGUCAAAUCAGCACGGCCCUUACGUCCGGGGCUACACACGUGUUACAAUGGGGGGUACAGAGGGCCGCUACCACGCGAGUGGAUGCCAAUCCCCAAAACCUCUCUCAGUUCGGACUGGAGUCUGCAACCCGACUCCACGAAGCUGGAUUCGCUAGUAAUCGCGCAUCGGCCACGGCGCGGUGAAUACGUUCCCGGGCCUUGUACACACCGCCCGUCAAGCCAUGGGAGCCGGGGGUACCUGAAGUGCGUAACCGCGAGGAGCGCCCUAGGGUAAAACUGGUGACUGGGGC
Molecule: ribosomal RNA, 1441 nt
Filed under: uncultured organism
Description: SSU rRNA
Rfam family: Bacterial small subunit ribosomal RNA
Source: RNAcentral